Carya illinoinensis is the source of this 395-nucleotide long non-coding RNA. RefSeq lists it as uncharacterized. The transcript is spliced from 2 exons. NCBI's taxonomy places the organism in Eukaryota, Viridiplantae, Streptophyta, Magnoliopsida, Fagales, Juglandaceae. The record is from RefSeq and is a predicted model, not a curated record.
CAAAAUUGGUUUACCUGCAAAGGAGAAGGUCAAGGCAAAUUCGGGCAAUUGUUCAUUUUACGAACAAUGUGAACAGUGUGAAAAGGAGGCAGUGAAGUUGUCCCUGACGAACUUAUUGACAUAUCCAUAUGUCCGAAAGGCAAUUGCAAACAAUGCACUCAAGUUGAUGGGUGGAUACUAUGAUUUUGUGGAUGGAACAUUUGAGGUUGUGCUGUUCGAGACUCACUUUUCACCUCCCAUCCCAGCCAUCUGAGUGAUCUCCAAGUUUGAAGUCAUGUUGUCUCUUAUUGGCAAUAUUAUCCAUUUGCAAACAAUAAAAUGUAUGCAUUUCGUUUUUGUAAGCUUUAAGCUGGUUGUUUCAGACAUGCUUUAUAAAUUCCCAUAUUCUCCCAUCA